Brachypodium distachyon (stiff brome) is the source of this 125-nucleotide non-coding RNA. The record is from Rfam. NCBI's taxonomy places the organism in Eukaryota, Viridiplantae, Streptophyta, Magnoliopsida, Poales, Poaceae.
UUAAUACUCCCUCCGUCUCAUAUUAAAUGACUUUCUAUUACAUGUAUCUAGACGCUUUUUAGGCAUAAAUACAUUGAUAUUUGGGCAAAUUUGAGUCAUUUAAUAUGACACGGAGGGAGUACUAU